AAUCUGUGUUGUAGGCACCUUCGUAAAAGAUCCUUGAAGCACUCCCAUGUCUCAAACAAUAACUCAAGAUCCAUACUGCUACAAAUGACGAUAUCUCAUUACAAAGCUU
Molecule: small nucleolar RNA, 109 nt
Organism: Dioscorea cayenensis subsp. rotundata (Guinea yam)
Lineage: Eukaryota; Viridiplantae; Streptophyta; Magnoliopsida; Dioscoreales; Dioscoreaceae
Source: RefSeq, a predicted model, not a curated record